This 253-nucleotide ribosomal RNA is filed under the name uncultured bacterium. Its description in RNAcentral is "partial 16S ribosomal RNA". It matches the Rfam family "Bacterial small subunit ribosomal RNA", at positions 524 to 776 of the family's 1533-position model. The record is from RNAcentral.
UACGUAGGGCGCAAGCGUUAUCCGGAAUUAUUGGGCGUAAAGAGCUCGUAGGCGGUUUGUCGCGUCUGCCGUGAAAGUCCGGGGCUCAACUCCGGAUCUGCGGUGGGUACGGGCAGACUAGAGUGAUGUAGGGGAGACUGGAAUUGCUGGUGUAGCGGUGAAAUGCGUAGAGAUCAGCAGGAACACCCGUGGCGAAGGCGGCCCCCUGGGCCGUACCUGACGCUGAGGCGCGAAGGCUAGGGGAGCGAACGGG